This 253-nucleotide ribosomal RNA is filed under the name uncultured bacterium. RNAcentral's name for it is "partial 16S ribosomal RNA". It matches the Rfam family "Bacterial small subunit ribosomal RNA", at positions 524 to 776 of the family's 1533-position model. The record is from RNAcentral.
UACAGAGGUCCCAAGCGUUGUUCGGAUUCAUUGGGCGUAAGGGGUGCGUAGGUGGCGUCGUAAGUCGGGUGUGAGAUCUCGGGGCUUAACUCCGAAACUGCAUUCGAUACUGCGGUGCUUGAGGACUGGAGAGGAGACUGGAAUUUACGGUGUAGCAGUGAAAUGCGUAGAUAUCGUAAGGAAGACCAGUGGCGAAGGCGGGUCUCUGGACAGUUCCUGACGCUGAGACACGAAGGCCAGGGGAGCAAACAGG